AAAUUAGGGAUCUAUGUUGAAAAUCUCACAGAGUGUUUACGUACAAUGUCAGAUGUAAAGCAGCUUUUAAUGAAGCACUCUGACCAGCAUUCACCAAAAGUACGCCAUCUACUUCUUAGCAGGAGAGGCUUGGUGGGAUUGCUGGUAUCGAAUUUGAGCUGGUACUUUUCAAGUUGAGUGAGAAAAGUGUGGUGAGGGUUUGACUCUGUAUGUUCAGUGUCUUCAUCUCUAACAGAGGCUCUCCUUAGAGCCUCUUCACGACUGGUUCUUGCUUGCUUCCCUUGGAACUCCACCCCCUUUAAAAAAGGGUGGGAAGUGGAAAGACUUAUACGAUGUGGGGUCCAACCAACUCAUUUUUGGAUUAAAACAUAUCGAGUGAUCAACAAGGUUUAACUCCUAGAAUUUUUGAGCGUCUUUUUGCUUGGAUAAAUGAGAUUUACAACGAGCAAAUUACAGAUUUAUUGGAUCCUAAUCAAAGAAAUUUCCAGGUUGAGAAAUGGAUCCAGAAAGUGGAACGUGAAAUGUAGAAAGAAGAAGGUUUUGAAUCUUAAAAGAAAAUUUGAUUGCAACAGAAGUUAAAAGGAAGGUAGACAGAGAGAGAAGAUUCCUGUCCAGCAUUGUACAAGAUUUUGAUAAGCUUCCUUUAUGCUAUGACAAAUGCAUGUUCUCUAGUUGGUGGUAGCGAGAUAUUUAUGAUGGCCGUUGGUGGUGGAAAAUGUCAGAUGGAUCUGUAUCUUUUAUCUCAAAAGUGGAAGGAGCUGGUGGAGAAAGCCCGUUCAAAGCAACUUCAACCUCACGAGUACAAUUCAGGCAUGUUUGGAGUGGAUAGAUUCAACACUAUACUUCCGCCAGGCCAGGGUGCUAUUAUGGUUGUUGGAGCUUCAAAGCCGGCAGUUGUGGCUGAUGUAGAUGGCUUCUUCAGUGUAAAGAGUAAAAUGCUGGUGACUUUGAAGGAUCUAAUAAAUAAUGCACAACUGAAUUUUUGGUUGCUGCAAUACGAAGGUUAUGGGGGGUCAAAAUACAGAUAAUGUAGAGGAAUUUUGUUUAAGCUGAGUUAAGUAACGGCUGGAAAUUGCUCUCUAAGGAAAAAAAGAAUAAAACAAAAGAACAAGUUGAAGAUGUUAAUUGGGCGCAAUUGGGUGCUAGAAAGAUAAAGAGCAAUACACUCAUCUCGGGAAGAACAUUGAGCCAUAGCAAAUGGGGGGCAAAUUUGCUUUAAAGGCUUGGUUGGGUAAAUUGGGUAAAUGAUGAAAG
This is an RNA transcript of Morus notabilis, 1254 nucleotides long. It is a transcript of the gene named dihydrolipoyllysine-residue acetyltransferase component 4 of pyruvate dehydrogenase complex, chloroplastic-like, with no coding region annotated. The record is from RefSeq and is a predicted model, not a curated record. The transcript is spliced from 13 exons. NCBI's taxonomy places the organism in Eukaryota, Viridiplantae, Streptophyta, Magnoliopsida, Rosales, Moraceae.